RNAcentral lists this ribosomal RNA (510 nucleotides) under uncultured bacterium. RNAcentral describes it as "partial 16S ribosomal RNA". It matches the Rfam family "Bacterial small subunit ribosomal RNA", at positions 28 to 507 of the family's 1533-position model. The record is from RNAcentral.
GACGAACGCUGGCGGCGUGCUUAACACAUGCAAGUCGAACGAAGAGCGAUGGAAGCUUGCUUCUAUCAAUCUUAGUGGCGAACGGGUGAGUAACGCGUAAUCAACCUGCCCUUCAGAGGGGGACAACAGUUGGAAACGACUGCUAAUACCGCAUACGAUCUAACCUCGGCAUCGAGGAUAGAUGAAAGGUGGCCUCUACAUGUAAGCUAUCACUGAAGGAGGGGAUUGCGUCUGAUUAGCUAGUUGGAGGGGUAACGGCCCACCAAGGCGAUGAUCAGUAGCCGGUCUGAGAGGAGGAACGGCCACAUUGGGACUGAGACACGGCCCAGACUCCUACGGGAGGCAGCAGUGGGGAAUCUUCCGCAAUGGACGAAAGUCUGACGGAGCAACGCCGCGUGAGUGAUGACGGCCUUCGGGUUGUAAAGCUCUGUUAAUCGGGACGAAAGGCCUUCUUGCGAAUAGUGAGAAGGAUUGACGGUACCGGAAUAGAAAGCCACGGCUAACUACGUG